UUUUUUUGUAAUUAUUUUAUUAUUUAGUUGGAAACUUCACACUGGUAUUAACAGAGCUAACAGAAGCAGCCCAGACCGUUGUCCUGGGCACCAAGACAAAGAUCUGGAAGAGAUACUGUUGAGUAUGGAAAUGCGCUGAGGUGAUUAAAUAGGGCACCCACCUGCAUCCUACCCUUGGUCUGAGAACCCCCCCCCGGGGGGGGGAUCCAAGAGCUGCUGGGUCUUGGUUUGUGAAGGAGAAGUAGGCUGUCAGGUUGAGGACUGCUUGUGGCGAGACUGUAGGAACUGCGGGUAUCCACACAGCGGUGCCUCCCAUCUCCACAGCAAGCCUUAGGUUGCUUCCUGUGAGUGUGGAAGGCUCCCCAGGACCUUCUGACAUUUUUGGCUAAGUCCCAUUUGGGGCAGUGUGAUAGUCUCAUGUCCCUGUGUUUCCUAAGCUCGAUGCUGAGAGCCCAUGACAGGUAGGGUGGUUCAGUGACUGUUAGCACUGCUGAUAGCUUUGUUCUGUGCAUCUGGGUCCCCAGGCCACACAGUAGGUACACUGGUGCUUGUAGAUUAGUCGGAAGGGUCUUUCCAAAGCCUUGAUCCCAACCUGGCUGCAAGGGAUUGGCAUGUGACACCCCCACCCAUUUCUAAAUCGCAAGUGACCUUGACAGUACCCCUCCCUUAUUGCAACCCUAAGACCCCACUGCCUUAGGGUGGGGUCCCCGGUGCCGAAGGUCUCUGCCUCACUCCAAGUCUCACUCUGGGCAGUCGUCUGUGUCUUUGGAAGUGUGAGAAUUGUGUUAGUGCAAACGGAUGUAUCUGCAUGUUGGAAAGCUCGCAGGAGGCAUGUUGGCAAGAUGAGAGUGCAUGUUUGGGAUUACUGGGGCUUACUGUCCCCACGCCGGGCGGAAGCUUCCAGAGAUGUCUUAUAGACAGGUGUGUGAAGGCUGAGAGACAGAGUUUGGAGCCGUAAUGUGUUUGAAACAGGAAAGAGUCAGUUCUCGGUGGUUAAAAAUGAGAGGUUUGCAGGGGAUUUUUGUUAUUCGACAGCCAAGAGUCCAGCCAGAGAAAACUCACUCACCGGGCCCAACCCCGGCUUCCAGUAUCAUUGUCUUAAGGAAGAGGUGGUGCAAGUCAUAAGCCAAUCUUUGGGUUUGGGAGCCCAUUCUCAUCCCGGAUUCCUAGAAGUUUUUACCCAGUGCAUUCUGUCCAGUGCAGAGCCAGCCUGUCAAACCAUACAAAUUAGGGACCACUGACCACAUAAUAAGGCCACACAGUAGGGACCCGACAUCCCCCACACUAGAACGUAAAAGCCCAGGUCUAUCCAGGAGGAAGGUGACCUCAUUUGGACCUUCAUACCCAAGGCUCCGAUGGAACUUAUGGUUCUAAUUGCCAAGUCGACCUCCUGAUGCCAGUCAGACCCGGUGAGCACACCGACCUCUUGCAUGUGCUGCUGCUGAGGCACACCGCUUUUGAGUUCACUUCAAAGGGUACGCAGUUGCCACUCUUAGAUUUAAAGCUUGUCUCCUGCAACAGAGGGCAUGGGUGUCCUUACCAGUUACCAGGUAAACUUCUAAGGCAGAUGUGAGUGGCCGCUGCUGCCAUGUGGUAAGAACAAGCAGGUAAAUGACACCGGGACUCACCUAAAUCACAGGGACUUCCUAGUGUCCACUCAUCCCCAGCCAGCUUACCGUGGUCAGCAGGAGUCCUUCCCCCAGCUUCUCCCCUCCCCACCUCAGCAGAGAAACGGAGACAAGGACAUUGGAUGCAGUAGGGGUCCACGUAAGUGCUAACAUAUCUCCAGGAUCCUGGGUGGUGCUAAACUAUCUCCGUGUUUCUCAUAGUUCUAAUAGUGGGUUGUUUUUUAUAAGUCUCAUCACAAACAACACAGUGUCACCGGGGGAGGGACCCAGCCCCCUUGACCUGCCCCUUUCCGGGUGUCCUUUAUCACUUUGGUGGGACUCUUUGGUCUGUAAAAAUGAUCUGUCUUGGCAUGCUUCUAGACUUUAAAAUUUGGGUUGUUUUGUUUCAUAUCUUAUGUUUACAGGCAUCUUGUAUUUCCCUAAAGACUAAAUAAAGUUUUUGACCUUUUUAACUGAACAG
This 2088-nucleotide long non-coding RNA is filed under the name Rattus norvegicus (Norway rat). RNAcentral's name for it is "long non-coding RNA NONRATT003893". Lineage: Eukaryota; Metazoa; Chordata; Mammalia; Rodentia; Muridae. The record is from RNAcentral.